AUGGACGUCGUCGCCCCGGACCGCAUGCGGAUUGCGCCGGAGAUCGAGAAACACGAGGCCGCGGAGGGCGACAUGGAGUCAGACCCGGCGCUCGCCGCGGGGCCGCGCGAGCACGAGCUGGAGCCCGUGGGGCGGUGGCAGGACGAUCUGACGGUGCGCGGCAUGGUGGCAGCGCUGCUCAUCGGGUGCAUCUACACCGUCAUCGUCAUGAGGAUGUCGCUCACCACCGGACUAGUGCCCACGCUCAAUGUCUCCGCCGCGCUGCUCUCCUUCCUCGCGCUCCGUGGCUGGACCAGCUUGCUGGACCGCUUCGGCAUCGUGUCACGACCCUUCACCCCACAGGAGAACACCAUCGUCCAGACAUGCGGCGUGGCCUGCUACACCAUCGCUUUCGCCGGUGGGUUCGGGUCAACCUUGCUGGGUCUAAACAGAAAGACGUACGAGCUGGCCGGCGACUCGGUGGCCAACGGGCCGGGGAGCUACAAGGAGCCAGGGAUUGGCUGGAUGACGGCAUUCCUCUUUUCUUGCUGCUUCGGUGGACUCCUCACCUUGAUUCCCCUUAGACAGGUAUUGGUCGUCGACUAUAAAUUAACUUACCCUAGUGGGACGGCAACUGCAGUUCUUAUAAACGGCUUCCAUACCACCCAGGGAGACAAGAAUUCAAAGAAGCAAAUACGUGGGUUUCUGAAAUACUUUGGGGGUAGCUUCAUAUGGAGUUUCUUCCAGUGGUUCUACACCGGCGGCGAUGCUUGUGGAUUUGUUCAGUUCCCUACUUUUGGUCUCAAGGCCUGGAAGCAAACAUUCUUCUUUGACUUCAGCAUGACAUACGUCGGCGCUGGGAUGAUUUGCCCACAUAUAGUAAAUGUUUCCACCCUCCUAGGUGCAAUUCUUUCAUAUGGAAUAUUGUACCCACUCCUCAGUAAAAACAAGGGUGAUUGGUACCCUGCAACUGUAAAAGAAAGCAGCAUGAAAAGUUUGUACGGCUACAAGGCCUUCAUAUGUAUCGCUCUUAUCUUGGGGGAUGGACUCUACCAAUUCAUCAAAAUUAUUAGCAUCACUUUUAAGGGCAUGUGUCGACAAUUUAGUCGUAAGCAUAUCAAUAAUAGAGCGAAAAAUAUGGACAAUACGGUCUCACUCGAGGAUAUGCAGCGCGACGAGGUCUUCAAGAGAGGCCAUCUCCCCGCUUGGAUGGCAUACUCUGGGUAUGCCGUGUUAAGCGUCGUUGCAGCGAUUACCACGCCAAUAAUGUUUCGACAAGUGAAAUGGUACUACAUAGUUAUAGCCUAUGUCGUAGCCCCCGUGCUUGGAUUCGCCAACUCUUACGGCACAGGGCUUACUGAUAUCAACAUGGGGUAUAACUAUGGGAAGAUUGGUCUCUUCGUCUUUGCGGGUUGGGCUGGCAGGGACAGUGGUGUCGUUGCAGGCCUUGUUACUGGUACAUGUGUGAAGCAGUUGGUUCUUAUAUCUGCAGAUCUGAUGCAUGACUUCAAGACGGGUUAUCUAACAAAGACAUCACCGAGAUCCAUGAUGGUGGCACAGGCCAUUGGUACGGUCAUGGGCUGCAUCCUUGCUCCCCUUACGUUCAUGCUCUUCUACAAGGCAUUUGACAUUGGCAACCCGGAUGGUUACUGGAAGGCGCCGUAUGCAUUGAUAUACCGUAAUAUGGCAAUACUUGGCGUGGAGGGGUUCUCGGUGUUGCCGAAGUAUUGUCUAGCACUCUCUGGUGGAUUCUUCGCAUUUGCAGCACUCCUCAGCAUCGCAAGAGAUGUCAUGCCACACAGAUAUAGCAAGUAUGUGCCCAUACCCAUGGCCAUGGCAGUUCCAUUCCUUGUCGGCGGGAGCUUCGCAAUUGAUAUGUGCGUCGGAAGUUUGGUGGUUUUUGUCUGGAACAAGAUAAACAAAAAGGAGGCUGGUUUCAUGGUCCCUGCGGUUGCAUCCGGUUUGAUAUGUGGGGAUGGAAUAUGGACAUUCCCUUCUUCCAUACUUGCCCUUGCCAAGAUUAAACCACCAAUUUGCAUGCAGUUUACACCUGCACCCUAG
Molecule: ribosomal RNA, 2040 nt
Filed under: Triticum aestivum (bread wheat)
Lineage: Eukaryota; Viridiplantae; Streptophyta; Magnoliopsida; Poales; Poaceae
Description: partial small subunit ribosomal RNA
Source: RNAcentral